This 2171-nucleotide ribosomal RNA is filed under the name metagenome. RNAcentral's name for it is "bacterial LSU rRNA". It matches the Rfam family "Bacterial large subunit ribosomal RNA", at positions 14 to 2265 of the family's 2925-position model. The record is from RNAcentral.
AGGGCGCAAGGGGAAUGCCUUGGCACUGAGAGCCGACGAAGGACGCGACAAGCUGCGAUAAGCUACGGGGAGCCGCAAAUGGGCUUUGAUCCGUGGAUUUCCGAAUGGGGAAACCCGAUGGAGCAAUACUCCAUCAACCAUGACUGAAUACAUAGGUCAUGGUGGGGAACCGCCUGAACUGAAACAUCUAAGUAGGGCGAGGAAGAGAAAUCAACCGAGAUUCCGCUAGUAGUGGCGAGCGAACGCGGAAGAGGCCAAACCGGAGGUAGCAAUAUUUCCGGGGUUAGGACUGCAAUAUGUAACUUUAAUCUUUAACUGAAUGCUUUGGGAAGAGCAGCGAUACAGGGUGAUAGCCCCGUAAGUGAAAAGGAUUGAGUGCUAGCAGUAUCCAGAGUACCAGCGGACACGUGAAACCCGCUGGGAAGAUGGGGGGACCAUCCUCCAAGCCUAAAUACUACUCAGUGACCGAUAGUGGAGCAGUACCGUGAGGGAAAGGUGAAAAGUACCCCGGGAGGGGAGUGAAAGAGAACCUGAAACCUUGUGCCUACAAGCACCGAGAGCACGUUAAAGUGUGAUCGGGUACUUUUUGUAGAACGGUCCGGCGAGUUAAUAUUUGCAGCGAGGUUAAGGAACUGGAGUUCCGGAGCCGCAGCGAGAGCGAGUCUGAAUAGGGCGUAUGAAGUUGCAGGUAUUAGACCCGAAACCGGGUGACCUAUCCAUGAGCAGGCUGAAGCGGUGGUAAGACACCGUGGAGGGCCGCACCCACGUCUGUUGAAAAAGCCGGGGAUGACUUGUGGAUAGCGGAGAAAUUCCAAUCGAACUCGGAGAUAGCUGGUUCUCCCCGAAAUAGCUUUAGGGCUAGCGUUAUUUUAGAUUACCGGAGGUAAAGCACUGAAUGGUCUAGGGGCCGCGAGGUUACCAAAGCCUAUCAAACUCUGAAUGCCGGAUAAUUGAUGAAUAGCAGUCAGACUGUGUGAGAUAAGUCUCAUAGUCAAAAGGGAAACAGCCCAGAUCUACAGCUAAGGUCCCAAAUGAACACUAAGUGGAAAAUGAUGUGAAACUGCGAAGACAACCAGGAUGUUGGCUUAGAAGCAGCCACUCAUUCAAAGAGUGCGUAAUAGCUCACUGGUCGAGUGGUUUUGCGCAGAAAAUGUAACGGGGCUAAGUGUUCAACCGAAGCUUAGGCAUUGCAGUAAUGCAUUGGGUAGGGGAGCGUCGUAUGCGGGGCGAAGUCAGAGCGGAAGCACUGGUGGACUGCAUACGAGUGAGAAUGCCGGAAUAAGUAGCGAGAAUUAUGUGAGAAUCAUAAUGGCCGAAAAUCUAAGGUUUCUUGGGGAAGGUUCGUCCGCCCAAGGUUAGUCGGGAGCUAAGCUCAGGCCGAAAGGCGUAGGCGAUGCACAUACGGUAGAAAUUCCGUAACCACCGAACAUUUAAGCUAGAGGGACGCUUUCUUUAAGGUUAUCCCGGGCGAUGGUUGCCCCGGGCGUAAGGGACCGAAAUAUAGUAGGGAAGUAACUGGCGAGAGAGACGAGAAAAGCUCUAGUGUAUACUAAGGUGCCCGUACCGCAAACCGACACAGGUAGAUGGGAUGAGUAUUCUAAGGCCAACGGGAGAAGGGUUGUUAAGGAACUCGGCAAAUUGGCCCCGUAACUUCGGGAUAAGGGGCGCCUGCGAGAGCAGGCCGCAGUGAAAAGGCCCAAGCGACUGUUUAGCAAAAACACAGCUCUCUGCUAAAUCGAAAGAUGACGUAUAGGGGGUGACGCCUGCCCGGUGCUGGAAGGUUAAGGGGAGUGCUUAGCGCAAGCGAAGGUGCGAACUUAAGCCCCAGUAAACGGCGGCCGUAACUAUAACGGUCCUAAGGUAGCGAAAUUCCUUGUCAGGUAAGUUCUGACCCGCACGAAUGGCGUAACGAUUUGGGCACUGUCUCAACAGCCCGCCCGGCGAAAUUGUAGUACCGGUGAAGAUGCCGGUUUCCCGCAACUAGACGGAAAGACCCCAUGGAGCUUCACUGUAGCUUGAUAUUGGAUCUCGGUAUUCCAUGUACAGGAUAGGUGGGAGGCUAGGAAGUAAGCGCGCCAGCGUUUAUGGAGCCAACCUUGGGAUACCACUCUUGGGAUAUUGGGAUUCUAACCUGCGACCAUGAAUCUGGUCGGGGGACACUGUCAGGUGGG